GCUUGUCUCAAAGAUUAAGCCAUGCAUGUCUAAGUAUAAGCAACCUUAUACAGCGAAACUGCGUACAGCUCAUUAUAUCAGCAAUUAUUUAUUUGAAGAUCACCUAUUACAUGGAUAACCGUGGUAAUUCUAGAGCUAAUACAUGCUGUAAAGCCCGACUUCUCGGAAGGGCCGUAUUUAUUAGAUAACAGACCAGCAGCUUCGGCUAUUGUGGUGAAUCAUAGUAACUAAUCGGAUCGCAUGGGCUAGUCCCGCGACAAACCAUUCAAGUUUCUGCCCCAUCAGCUUUCGACGGUAGUGUAUUGGACUACCGUGGCUUUUACGGGUAACGGAGGAUUAGGGUUCGAUUCCGGAGAGGGAGCCUGAGAAACGGCUACCACAUCUAAGGAAGGCAGCAGG
Molecule: ribosomal RNA, 399 nt
Filed under: uncultured Strobilidiidae
Lineage: Eukaryota; Ciliophora; Spirotrichea; Choreotrichida; Strobilidiidae
Description: partial small subunit ribosomal RNA
Rfam family: Eukaryotic small subunit ribosomal RNA
Source: RNAcentral